RNAcentral lists this ribosomal RNA (403 nucleotides) under uncultured bacterium. RNAcentral's name for it is "partial 16S ribosomal RNA". It matches the Rfam family "Bacterial small subunit ribosomal RNA", at positions 28 to 526 of the family's 1533-position model. The record is from RNAcentral.
GACGAACGCUGGCGGCGUGCCUAAUACAUGCAAGUCGAACGCAGUGGGGACGGGUGAGUAACACGUGGGUAACCUCCCAUCAGAGGGGAUAACACUUGGAAACAGGUGCUAAACCGAUACUGAUGGAUGGACCCGCGGGGCAUUAGCUAGUUGGUGAGGUAACGGCGCACCAAGGCCACGAUGCAUAGACGACCUGGGAGGGGGGUCGGCGACACGUGGACUGGGACACGGCCCAGACUCCUACGGGAGGCAGCAGUAGGGAAUCUUCGGCAAUGGACGAAAGUCUGACCGAGCAACUCCGCGUGAGUGAAGUAGUUUUUCGGAUCGUAAAACUCUGUUGUUAGAGCAGCGGUAUCUAACCAGAAGGCCACGGCUAACUACGUGCCAUCAGCCGCGGUAAUGC